GGCACUGCAUCACAGGGAGCAUGGCUAACGGACAGAUGGAACUCUGGAGUUUAACCUUAGUUAAGUAAGGGCAUAUGAUGAAGUUGGCCAUCUUUCCAGGAACACCUCAUAGGUUCUCUCUUCUGUCUGUGGAUUCAGGAAAUCUUGCAUCAUGGGAAAAAGAAAUGGAGCCUGGAGCCUACCUUGGAUGCAUCCAGGGCCAGAGGGCCAGGUUGGAUGGCUUCCUGCGAAAUUCUCCAUGCACCAUGCGGAACAUGCAUAGAAGAGUAUACUAGUAGAUGAGAAUGAAAAGAAUAAAUGUACACAAGUUAAACAAACUAA
This 321-nucleotide long non-coding RNA is filed under the name Mus caroli (Ryukyu mouse). RNAcentral's name for it is "lncRNA (MGP_CAROLIEiJ_G0002837.1)". The record is from RNAcentral. Lineage: Eukaryota; Metazoa; Chordata; Mammalia; Rodentia; Muridae.